GUGGGGAAUAUUGGACAAUGGGCGAAAGCCUGAUCCAGCCAUGCCGCGUGUGUGAAGAAGGUCUUCGGAUUGUAAAGCACUUUAAGUUGGGAGGAAGGGCAGUAAGUUAAUACCUUGCUGUUUUGACGUUACCGACAGAAUAAGCACCGGCUAACUUCGUGCCAGCAGCCGCGGUAAUACGAAGGGUGCAAGCGUUAAUCGGAAUUACUGGGCGUAAAGCGCGCGUAGGUGGUUUUGUAAGUUGGAGGUGAAAUCCCCGGGCUCAACCUGGGAACUGCCUCCAAAAGUGCAUGACUAGAGUACGGUAGAGGGUAGUGGAAUUUCCUGUGUAGCGGUGAAAUGCGUAGAUAUAGGAAGGAACACCAGUGGCGAAGGCGACUACCUGGACUGAUACUGACACUGAGGUGCGAAAGCGUGGGGAGCAAACAGGAUUAGAAACCCGGGUAGUCC
RNAcentral lists this ribosomal RNA (450 nucleotides) under uncultured bacterium. RNAcentral describes it as "bacterial SSU rRNA". It matches the Rfam family "Bacterial small subunit ribosomal RNA", at positions 354 to 796 of the family's 1533-position model. The record is from RNAcentral.